RNAcentral lists this ribosomal RNA (806 nucleotides) under uncultured bacterium. RNAcentral describes it as "bacterial SSU rRNA". It matches the Rfam family "Bacterial small subunit ribosomal RNA", at positions 8 to 796 of the family's 1533-position model. The record is from RNAcentral.
AGAGUUUGAUCCUGGCUCAGAGUGAACGCUGGCGGCGUGGAUUAGGCAUGCAAGUCGAACGAUGGUGAGAGAAAUCGAACCAUAGUGGCAAAAGGGCGAGUAACGCGUGAGAAAUCUACCUUUGAGUGGGGAAUAACCUUGGGAAACCAGGGCUAAAACCGCAUAAGACCACGACAGGGCAUCCUGUUGUGAUAAAAAGGAGGGACCGCAAGGCCUCUUGCUCGAAGAUGAUCUCGCGUCCUAUCAGCUAGUUGGCGGGGUAAUGGCCCACCAAGGCUUUUGACGGGUAGCUGGCCUGAGAGGGUGGUCAGCCACACGGGGACUGAGAUACUGCCCCGACUCCUACGGGAGGCUGCAGUCGAGGAUCUUUAGCAAUGGGCGAAAGCCUGACUAUGCGACGCCGCGUGAGGGAUGAAGGUUUUCGGAUCGUAAACCUCUUUCGAUAGGGAAGAAAAAUUUUAUCAUAACAUGGUAAAAACUGACGGUACCUAUAGAAGAAGCCACGGCCAACUCCGUGCCAGCAGCCGCGGUAAUACGGAGGUGGCGAGCGUUACUCGGAUUCAUUGGGUGUAAAGGGCAGGUAGGUGGCUAUGUAAGUUGGGGGUGAAAUCCUUUGGCUCAACCAAAGAACUGCCUUCAAAACUGCAUAGCUUGAGGCUGAAAGAAGAGAGCGGAAUUCCCGGUGUAAGGGUGAAAUCUGUAGAUAUCGGGAGGAACACCAGUGGCGAAAGCGGCUCUCCGGUCCGGUCCUGACACUGAUCUGCGAAAGCUAGGGGAGCAAACAGGAUUAGAUACCCUGGUAGUCC